UCUUGAUGGUUCCAGGUGGCUCCAGGUGCACCCGUCCAGGCAGGGAGCGUUGCCCCCUUGUAGUGCAUGAACCUCGGCUGAGUCGGGUGGCAGCCUUCCAUUUGUUAAAUACUACAUGAGGUGACUGGAGCUUCUCUGCUCAUUGCUGAGAGGACAGAUGGAGAGGCCACGGAACGUUCUGGAGAGCCGAUGGUAAUUAGGAGCCAGUAGCAGAGCCGGUGUCUUCCGCAGGGAACAGGCCUGAGCGGAAGUGCUGGGUUGUUUGCUCUUUGGCUGCUCAGCAUGCUGUUGCUCUGCGAAGUGAGCUCGGGUUCGGACUGUCAUCGCUGCACAUUUCUCCGCUCUUCACAUCAGUGAGGCAUCUCCUGAAUGUGUGUGUGCUGAACAAAAGCCUAGGUUGUUUACAUCAGGGUAAUUGGUCAUGGACGGGUCAUUACCUGCAGCAAGAAAACUGAAGAAAAGAAAAGUGUACAACAAGAGUCUGCAAGAAUCCGUCAAUCUGACUGACUGAUCAGGUAUUUUCAUGCAGUUGGGUGAUGAAGAGCAGGUGGCCUGAUUUGCAGAAAGCAGCACCUUCGCUGCCUCCUCUUCCUCCAUGUGGCUGUUGGGCAGGCGAGGGCGAUUGCGUUCCCCUCCCGCGCCAUGCUGCCUGUCCGCCUGUGGGACCUGCUCCGUGGGCUUUUCAUCAGCUGCCAUUUUCACCAGCAUGCAGGAACUCAGAGGACAAGGAGAAUAACCACUGGUUUGGUGAAGAAACGAGGUCUGUCGCUCUACAGUCUGAUCCGCCCGGCUGUCCCAAUCCAGUCCAGAACAGGAAGAAUGGACAGAGAAUCAGAUCAAGAUCAAGAGAAAAUUGUGUACAAGGCUCUUUGAAGUUCAGGAUGGCAUGAAGGUUCAUGUGGCCAAGGUGCAAAAUCAUCAUGCCUGAGACCACACAGAUGGGGAUGAGAUAAAACUUCUUGUUGCGCUCAACACCAUUUCCAGAAAAGAAGAAGGAGAAGAAACUUAAACCAACAUUCCAGCUCCUGGAGAACAAAACACAAACUGAAGACGAGCUUCAAAAUGGAAGGAUAGAAAUCAGCAGUGAAAAGAGGAGAGGAUGAGAGCAAAGAAAACAAAGAGAUGGAAGAAUAACACAGAAAAGAAGGUAAGAAAAAGAGUACAUAGAGAAGAAGGUGUGGAGCAGAAGUGUGUUGCUGGGCAGAGGGCUGGCGCUGGCAGGGUGGAGAAGCGGGCACGCUCACAGACAUCUGCUGGCACGCUGCGGAUGCUGGAGGGGGCACGGUGCCAUGACCAGCGGCUACAUGGCACACUGAUAAUGCUGGAGCUAUACUCAGAUACACACUGUGUCUCUAUAGAACGCCACACACACAACACCAAUGAUAAAAUAAUCUCACACUAUCGACAUUAGCAAUGCAGGACACACGCUGAGGAUCCAAAAUAUCAUAAUUGGCAGCUUUCAGUUUUUAGUCUAGGCAAAAUACUUAUUAAGA
This is a long non-coding RNA of Carassius auratus (goldfish), 1493 nucleotides long. RefSeq lists it as uncharacterized. Lineage: Eukaryota; Metazoa; Chordata; Actinopteri; Cypriniformes; Cyprinidae. The transcript is spliced from 7 exons. The record is from RefSeq and is a predicted model, not a curated record.